GCAGCCUUAGCGCAUGCCAUAAGCAAUAUUCGUCGGUGAUACCUGGUUGAUCCUGCCAGUAGUCAUAUGCUUGUCUCAAAGCUUAAGCCAUGCAAGUGUAAGUUCAUGCCGUAAACGAAUGGUGAAACCGCGAAUGGCUCAGGAACCGGACCUAAUCCUCGGGACCGUAUUCUUCCACCGCGAGGAGAGUGGAUAACUGUGGCAAUUCUAGAGCUAAUACAUGCAACCGAAGCCGCGAUCG
This is a long non-coding RNA of Octopus sinensis (East Asian common octopus), 241 nucleotides long. RefSeq lists it as uncharacterized. NCBI's taxonomy places the organism in Eukaryota, Metazoa, Mollusca, Cephalopoda, Octopoda, Octopodidae. The record is from RefSeq and is a predicted model, not a curated record. The transcript has 3 exons.